This 441-nucleotide small RNA is filed under the name Caenorhabditis elegans. Its description in RNAcentral is "Unclassified non-coding RNA T06A10.108". The record is from RNAcentral. Lineage: Eukaryota; Metazoa; Nematoda; Chromadorea; Rhabditida; Rhabditidae.
AGUAUACGUUGGAGGAUCCGCUCACAAGCUGAAUCUCAUCGAUUUGAAGCAAACGCGUGGGUUUUUAAGCCAAAUUAUCUGAAAAUUCCGCAUUUUUUCUCUAUUUUUCAGGCCCACAAAUCGUCAUUGGAACUCCUGGUCGGAUAGCACAGCUCGUCAAGCUCGGAGCAAUGAACAUGUCCCAUGUGGACUUUUUUGUGCUCGAUGAGGCGGAUAAGCUGAUGGAUGAAGUGUUUAGAGAUGAUAUAAAGUACGAAAAAUCAUAGUUUUUCCCCCCCCCCCCCCCCCCCCCCCGAAAAACCUCGGAUUUUUCAGUAUUAUCAUCAAUUCUCUGCCUCAAAUCCGCCAAGUUGCCGUGUUUUCAGCCACCUACCCGCGAAAUCUUGACAAUUUGUUGUCGACUUUUCUCCGCGACGCGGCACUUGUUCGGUUUAACGCUGG